This 253-nucleotide ribosomal RNA is filed under the name uncultured bacterium. RNAcentral's name for it is "partial 16S ribosomal RNA". It matches the Rfam family "Bacterial small subunit ribosomal RNA", at positions 524 to 776 of the family's 1533-position model. The record is from RNAcentral.
UACGAAGGGGGCUAGCGUUGUUCGGAAUCACUGGGCGUAAAGGGCGCGUAGGCGGCCGAUCAAGUCGGAGGUGAAAGCCCAGGGCUCAACCCUGGAAUUGCCUUCGAUACUGUUUGGCUAGAGACCGGAAGAGGUAAGUGGAACUGCGAGUGUAGAGGUGAAAUUCGUAGAUAUUCGCAAGAACACCAGUGGCGAAGGCGGCUUACUGGUCCGGUUCUGACGCUGAGGCGCGAAAGCGUGGGGAGCAAACAGG